Molecule: long non-coding RNA, 377 nt
Organism: Hyaena hyaena (striped hyena)
Lineage: Eukaryota; Metazoa; Chordata; Mammalia; Carnivora; Hyaenidae
Exons: 4
Source: RefSeq, a predicted model, not a curated record
GAAGUGGCUGUAAUCAGGCUUGAGUUUGGAAUGGCCGGUAGCUUUAGGCUAUAUUUAAGGGGUGAGGGUCCCCUUUUCUUGGCCCUUUGGCCAGAAAUAGGAGGUUUUUCUCGGGAAUUGUAGCUGCCUUCCAUAACUGCAGCAGUUGACUAGAGCCCACACUGGGACAAAAGUGUGAGAGAAAAAAAUGUGGAUUCCCUCUGAACUCUUCAGAUCACAGAGGUCUCCUUUCCCAGCUCCCUUGUUUAGAAAGAAGAUGCUUGCUAACUAUUAUACCAACUUCAGGGACAAAGGGAGUGAUCACAGACCCGCUUGUGACACGGUGAAGAAAAAUCUCCUAAAUCCAGUCUGUGUUCCUGAGUGAAUUCUUUUAACAG